UAGGGAAUAUUGGUCAAUGGGUGAGAGCCUGAACCAGCCAUGCCGCGUGCAGGAAGAAGGCGUUAUGCGUUGUAAACUGCUUUUUGCCAGGGGGAUAAAAAGACUGUGCGCAGUUAAUUGAAGGUACCUGGUGAAUAAGCCACGGCUAACUACGUGCCAGCAGCCGCGGUAAUACGUAGGUGGCAAGCGUUGUCCGGAUUUAUUGGGUUUAAAGGGUGCGUAGGCGGCCCUGUAAGUCAGUGGUGAAAUAUCUCAGCUUAACUGAGAGGGUGCCAUUGAUACUGCGGGGCUUGAGUACAGAUGAGGUAGGCGGAAUUGACGGUGUAGCGGUGAAAUGCAUAGAUAUCGUCAAGACACCGAUAGCGAAGGCAGCUUACCAAGACUGUAACUGACGCUGAGGCACGAAAGUGUGGGGAUCAAACAGGAUUAGAUACCCUGGUAGUCACACUGUAAACGUUGAUGACUCGAUGUUGGCG
This 476-nucleotide ribosomal RNA is filed under the name uncultured Bacteroidota bacterium. RNAcentral describes it as "bacterial SSU rRNA". It matches the Rfam family "Bacterial small subunit ribosomal RNA", at positions 355 to 828 of the family's 1533-position model. Lineage: Bacteria; Pseudomonadati; Bacteroidota. The record is from RNAcentral.